Long non-coding RNA from Coffea arabica (coffee), 156 nucleotides. RefSeq lists it as uncharacterized. Lineage: Eukaryota; Viridiplantae; Streptophyta; Magnoliopsida; Gentianales; Rubiaceae. The record is from RefSeq and is a predicted model, not a curated record.
CAAAGAGUGACCAAAAUUUCUGAUCUAAUCAUCCAAGAAGGCGCUCAAGGGGACCUUCAAGAGGAACUCGAAGUGGACGCCUAGACACUUGUUUGAGUAUUUACUCUCUUGUUGCAAUAGGGUUCGAGACCAAGGGUGCUCGUGAGUAGUACUAGA